RNAcentral lists this ribosomal RNA (253 nucleotides) under uncultured bacterium. Its description in RNAcentral is "partial 16S ribosomal RNA". It matches the Rfam family "Bacterial small subunit ribosomal RNA", at positions 524 to 776 of the family's 1533-position model. The record is from RNAcentral.
GACAGAGGGUGCAAACGUUGUUCGGAUUUACUGGGCGUAAAGCGUGCGCAGGCGGUUGUGCAAGACAGAUGUGAAAUCCCCGGGCUCAACCUGGGAACUGCAUUUGUGACUGCACGGCUGGAGUGCGGCAGAGGGGGAUGGAAUUCCGCGUGUAGCAGUGAAAUGCGUAGAGAUCAUGAGGAAGACCAGUGGCGAAGGCGGGUCUCUGGACAGUUCCUGACACUGAGACACGAAGGCCAGGGGAGCAAACGGG